RNAcentral lists this long non-coding RNA (1104 nucleotides) under Linum usitatissimum (flax). RNAcentral's name for it is "long non-coding RNA (LUSI_LNC007882)". The record is from RNAcentral. Lineage: Eukaryota; Viridiplantae; Streptophyta; Magnoliopsida; Malpighiales; Linaceae.
CGCGGCGGCGCCGCCUCCCUCGGCGUCGUCGCUGGCGAAGCGUGCAAAUAGAAACCUUUCUCCUUAAUCGCCUUCUGCUCCGCCUCCGCCGCAGCCGCCGAAUCCACCAUCAUGCUACUGUUGUUGCCCCCCAAUUUGCUUGCCGGUUGAUGAUUUCCGCCCCCGCCACCGUUCAUCGGACUUCCGCCGUAGCAGGUAGCGAAUCCUCCCCCGGUUCCGGAUCCGGAUCGGUCAAACGGGUCGUGAAUCAAGGGAGUGACAGGACUGAGCACUAGAGACGGGAAAUCAAGGAUGCUCGGAGAAAGGAUCUCGGGCUUCCGGGGCGAGAACCCGGAUCCAGCCGCCGGCGAUAGGAACGGAUUCAGCGGGUUGAUCUUCAGGUUCUUGAGCGAGUUCCUCCUCUCGUAAAGCUUGAACCCGGAUGAUUGAUUCCUCUUCGGGAUUGGCUUAAUCGGAGGAAUCGCAUGAUUAUGAGAUUUCAUCGGAUGGUGGUUGUGGUUGCGGUGGUGGGUGGGGUCAGGUUGGGGAGACGCCGCCGCCGCGGCGGAUUUCGGAGAUCCGGUGAGCAUUUGGACAACCUGCUUGAACGAGGAGGUAUCCGCUUGGACGAAGGUUGUUGGGUAUGGAUUAGCCGACUCGGAUCUGGCGAUUGGCCGAGGAGAAGGCAGCGAUGGUGGCGGCGGCGGGGGCUGCGCCGCCGCCGCCGUGGAGUGGCGAAGGCCAUUGGUGGAGGUAGGGCUGCUGCUGCUGUUGCUGCUACUGCUGCUACUGGUGCUGUUCGGCGACGGAAUUAGCGACUGGUAAUUACUCCUGCCGGCAUCCUGGUAUUGAAAUCUCGGUGAAGAUUUCUCCAUUUCUGGCUCUGCUCUCUAAUCUUUCUGAAGAGAGAUUUUGGAGAAGACGAAAGAAAUAGAGAGGAAAAGGAAAUGGGGGAAGUGCUGGUUUUGUAAUUCCAAUUGGUAAGAAAUGUUUUUUCCUUUCAACUCUCUGACUUCAGAAAGGGCAUUCACGCGCCUUUUUUAUAGCGUCGAAGACGCGCGUGAUUUGACUGUGAAAAUUAAAAAACGGAGAUAUAGUAAAUGGUAAUUAAGAGGAGUGUUACUU